Molecule: ribosomal RNA, 522 nt
Filed under: uncultured Gammaproteobacteria bacterium
Lineage: Bacteria; Pseudomonadati; Pseudomonadota; Gammaproteobacteria
Description: partial 16S ribosomal RNA
Rfam family: Bacterial small subunit ribosomal RNA
Source: RNAcentral
GAGUUUGAUCCUGGCUCAGAUUGAACGCUGGCGGCAGGCCUAACACAUGCAAGUCGAGCGGUAACAGGAGAGCUUGCUCUCGCUGACGAGCGGCGGACGGGUGAGUAACGCGUAGGAAUCUACCCAGUAGCGGGGGAUAGCCCGGGGAAACUCGGAUUAAUACCGCAUACGCCCCACGGGGGAAAGCAGGGGAUCUUCGGACCUUGCACUAUUGGAAGAGCCUGCGUUGGAUUAGCUAGUUGGUAGGGUAAAGGCCUACCAAGGCGACGAUCCGUAGCUGGUUUGAGAGGAUGAUCAGCCACACUGGGACUGAGACACGGCCCAGACUCCUACGGGAGGCAGCAGUGGGGAAUAUUGGACAAUGGGCGAAGGCCUGAUCCAGCAAUGCCGCGUGUGUGAAGAAGGCCUGCGGGUUGUAAAGCACUUUUAUCGGGAAAGAAAAGCUUGGGGCUAAUACCUCCAAGCCUUGACGGUACCCGUUGAAUAAGCACCGGCUAACUCCGUGCCAGCAGCCGCGGUAAU